RNAcentral lists this ribosomal RNA (497 nucleotides) under uncultured bacterium. RNAcentral describes it as "partial 16S ribosomal RNA". It matches the Rfam family "Bacterial small subunit ribosomal RNA", at positions 28 to 507 of the family's 1533-position model. The record is from RNAcentral.
GAUGAACGCUGGCGGCGUGCCUAAUACAUGCAAGUCGAGCGAACAGAUGAGGAGCUUGCUCCUCUGACGUUAGCGGCGGACGGGUGAGUAACACGUGGAUAACCUACCUAUAAGACUGGGAUAACUUCGGGAAACCGGAGCUAAUACCGGAUAAUAUAUUGAACCGCAUGGUUCAAUAGUGAAAGACGGUUUUGCUGUCACUUAUAGAUGGAUCCGCGCCGCAUUAGCUAGUUGGUAAGGUAACGGCUUACCAAGGCAACGAUGCGUAGCCGACCUGAGAGGGUGAUCGGCCACACUGGAGGUGAGCCACGGUCCAGACUCCUACGGGAGGCAGCAGUAGGGAAUCUGCCGCAAUGGGCGAAAGCCUGACGGAGCAACGCCGCGUGAGUGAUGAAGGUCUUCGGAUCGUAAAACUCUGUUACUAGGGAAGAACCAAUGUGUAAGUAACUAUGCACGUCUUGACGGUACCUAAUCAGAAAGCCACGGCUAACUACGUG